RNAcentral lists this ribosomal RNA (1323 nucleotides) under uncultured bacterium. RNAcentral's name for it is "bacterial SSU rRNA". It matches the Rfam family "Bacterial small subunit ribosomal RNA", at positions 88 to 1401 of the family's 1533-position model. The record is from RNAcentral.
CCAGUGAGUGGCGGACGGGUGAGUAACACGUAGGUAACCUGCCCCGGAGCGGGGGAUAACAUUUGGAAACAGAUGCUAAUACCGCAUAACAACAAAAACCACAUGGCUUUUGUUUGAAAGAUGGCUUUGGCUAUCACUCUGGGAUGGACCUGCGGUGCAUUAGCUAGUUGGUAAGGUAACGGCUUACCAAGGCGAUGAUGCAUAGCCGAGUUGAGAGACUGAUCGGCCACAAUGGAACUGAGACACGGACCAGACUCCUACGGGAGGCAGCAGUGAGGAAUAUUGGUCAAUGGUCGGGAGACUGAACCAGCCAAGCCGCGUGAGGGAGGAAGGUACAGAGUAUCGUAAACCUCUUUUGUCAGGGAACAAAGGCGGGGACGUGUCCCCAGAUGAGUGUACCUGAAGAAAAAGCAUCGGCUAACUCCGUGCCAGCAGCCGCGGUAAUACGGAGGAUGCGAGCGUUAUCCGGAUUUAUUGGGUUUAAAGGGUGCGCAGGCGGUCUGUUAAGUCAGCGGUCAAAGCCCGGGGCUCAACCCCGGCCCGCCGUUGAAACUGGCAGUCUCGAGUUGGAGAGAAGUAUGCGGAAUGCGCGGUGUAGCGGUGAAAUGCAUAGAUAUCGCGCAGAACUCCGAUUGCGAAGGCAGCAUGCCGGCUCCACACUGACGCUGAGGCACGAAAGCGUGGGUAUCGAACAAAGUUAGAUACCCUGGUAGUCCACGCAGUAAACGAUGCAUUAGGGUGUCCGGGGGGAUUGACCCCUGGGUGGGGGAAGCGAAAGCGAUAAGCAUUCCACCUGGGGGAGUACGCCGGCAACGGUGAAACUCAAAGGAAUUGACGGGGGGCCCGCACAAGCGGAGGAACAUGUGGUUUAAUUCGAUGAUACGCGAGGAACCUUACCCGGGCUCAAACGGGGAGUGACUCAGGCAGAGACGCCUGUUUCCCACGGGACACUCCCCGAGGUGCUGCAUGGUUGUCGUCAGCUCGUGCCGUGAGGUGUCGGCUUAAGUGCCAUAACGAGCGCAACCCCCGCGUGCAGUUGCUAACAGAUAACGCUGAGGACUCUGCACGGACUGCCGGCGCAAGCCGCGAGGAAGCCGGGGACGACGUCAAAUCAGCACGGCCCUUACGUCCGGGGCGACACACGUGUUACAAUGGGUGGUACAGCGGGAAGCCAGGCGGCGACGCCGAGCGGAACCCGAAAUCCACUCUCAGUUCGGAUCGGAGUCCGCAACCCGACUCCGUGAAGCUGGAUUCGCUAGUAAUCGCGCAUCAGCCAUGGCGCGGUGAAUACGUUCCCGGGCCUUGUACUCACCGCCCGUCAAG